RNAcentral lists this ribosomal RNA (301 nucleotides) under uncultured bacterium. RNAcentral describes it as "partial 16S ribosomal RNA". It matches the Rfam family "Bacterial small subunit ribosomal RNA", at positions 509 to 807 of the family's 1533-position model. The record is from RNAcentral.
CAGCAGCCGCGGGAAUACGGAGGGGGCUAGCGUUGUUCGGAAUUACUGGGCGUAAAGCGCGCGUAGGCGGUUACUCAAGUCAGAGGUGAAAGCCCGGGGCUCAACCCCGGAACUGCCUUUGAAACUAGGUGACUAGAAUCUUGGAGAGGUCAGUGGAAUUCCGAGUGUAGAGGUGAAAUUCGUAGAUAUUCGGAAGAACACCAGUGGCGAAGGCGACUGACUGGACAAGUAUUGACGCUGAGGUGCGAAAGCGUGGGGAGCAAACAGGAUUAGAUACCCGCGUAGUCCCUGUCUCUUAUAC